Molecule: signal recognition particle RNA, 300 nt
Filed under: Rhinopithecus roxellana (golden snub-nosed monkey)
Lineage: Eukaryota; Metazoa; Chordata; Mammalia; Primates; Cercopithecidae
Description: Metazoan signal recognition particle RNA (ENSRROG00000005608.1)
Rfam family: Metazoan signal recognition particle RNA
About the family: The signal recognition particle (SRP) is a universally conserved ribonucleoprotein. It is involved in the co-translational targeting of proteins to membranes.
Source: RNAcentral
ACUAGGUACAGUAGCAUGUGCCUGUUACCCCAGCUACUGGGGAGGCUGGGGUGGGAGGAUUGCUUUAGCCCAGGAGUUUGGGCUGUGGUGCACUAUGCCAGUCAGGUGUCCACACUGAGUUUGGCAUCAUUAUGGUGACCUCCCGGGAGCAGGGAACCCUCAGGUUGCCUAAGGAGGAGUGAACCUGUCCAGGUCAGAAACGAAGAAGGUCAAAGAACUCUCAUGCAGAUCAGUAAUGGGAUUCUGCCUGUGAAUAGCCACUGUACUCCAGCCUGGGCAACAGAGUGAGACCCUGUCUCU